RNAcentral lists this transfer RNA (86 nucleotides) under Ruegeria atlantica. Its description in RNAcentral is "tRNA-Leu". It matches the Rfam family "tRNA". Rfam says of the family: Transfer RNA (tRNA) molecules are approximately 80 nucleotides in length. Their secondary structure includes four short double-helical elements and three loops (D, anti-codon, and T loops). The record is from RNAcentral. Lineage: Bacteria; Pseudomonadati; Pseudomonadota; Alphaproteobacteria; Rhodobacterales; Roseobacteraceae. RNAcentral also lists the same sequence under 28 other names.
GCCCAAGUGGCGGAAUGGUAGACGCAGGGGAUUCAAAAUCCCCCGUCCUAACGGACGUGCCGGUUCGAGUCCGGCCUUGGGUACCA